UUGAUUCAUUUGUGUAAUGAUUCCACUCAGACAUGCCAAAAGUGUAAAAGAUACAAGAGUUUGGGUCCCCCGGCGGGCGCCUGGUUCCGGGAAGCCGAGACCUGCGAGAGGCCCGGUUGCCCGGGGCGAAAGACCCGCCGAAGCAACGUUGUAAAGGUAUAAGUUCACAUGGGGUUUGGGAGUUGUAAACUCGGUAAUGAUCCCUCCGCUGGUUCACCAACGGAGA
This 226-nucleotide unclassified non-coding RNA is filed under the name uncultured fungus. RNAcentral's name for it is "sequence contains ITS1". The record is from RNAcentral. Lineage: Eukaryota; Fungi.